RNAcentral lists this transfer RNA (74 nucleotides) under Ixodes scapularis (black-legged tick). It matches the Rfam family "tRNA". Rfam says of the family: Transfer RNA (tRNA) molecules are approximately 80 nucleotides in length. Lineage: Eukaryota; Metazoa; Arthropoda; Arachnida; Ixodida; Ixodidae. The record is from Rfam by way of RNAcentral.
CCCUGGUUAGCACAUUUGGUAGAGCGCUCGACUGCCAAUUGAGAGGUCCCGGGUUUCGAUACCCGGACCAGACG